GACGUUCGACCACUCCGAGCCGCUCGGCCCUUCCGCACGCAGUGCGAUGGACGGCGGCCUGAGCGCGGGGCGCGCCUUCGUCCUCAGGCGCCCUGCGCUCACGGGGUAUGCCUGGAAACGGGCAUGCCUUCCACGAGACCGGUAUAAGGAGGUGGGUCGCGUUCACG
Molecule: non-coding RNA, 167 nt
Filed under: Hydrogenibacillus schlegelii
Lineage: Bacteria; Bacillati; Bacillota; Bacilli; Thermicanales; Thermicanaceae
Description: MoCo sequence
Rfam family: Molybdenum/Tungsten riboswitch aptamer (Moco RNA motif)
Source: Rfam by way of RNAcentral